Molecule: ribosomal RNA, 192 nt
Filed under: uncultured Pseudomonas sp.
Lineage: Bacteria; Pseudomonadati; Pseudomonadota; Gammaproteobacteria; Pseudomonadales; Pseudomonadaceae
Description: partial 16S ribosomal RNA
Rfam family: Bacterial small subunit ribosomal RNA
Source: RNAcentral
UACGGGAGGCAGCAGUGGGGAAUAUUGGACAAUGGGCGAAAGCCUGAUCCAGCCAUGCCGCGUGUGUGAAGAAGGUCUUCGGAUUGUAAAGCACUUUAAGUUGGGAGGAAGGGCAGUUAAGCCUAAUACCGUUGUUGUCUUGACGUUACCGACAGAAUAAGCACCGGCUAACUCUGUGCCAGCAGCCGCGGU